GUGCCAGCCGCCGCGGUAAUACGAAGGGUGCAAGCGUUAAUCGGAAUUACUGGGCGUAAAGCGUGCGUAGGCGGUUCGUUAAGUCUGUCGUGAAAGCCCUGGGCUCAACCUGGGAAUGGCGAUGGAUACUGGCGAGCUAGAGUGUGAUAGAGGAUGGCGGAAUUCCCGGUGUAGCGGUGAAAUGCGUAGAGAUCGGGAGGAACAUCUGUGGCGAAGGCGGCCAUCUGGAUCAACACUGACGCUGAGGCACGAAAGCGUGGGGAGCAAACAGGAUUAGAAACCCCAGUAGUCC
Molecule: ribosomal RNA, 292 nt
Filed under: uncultured bacterium
Lineage: Bacteria
Description: partial 16S ribosomal RNA
Rfam family: Bacterial small subunit ribosomal RNA
Source: RNAcentral